GGUACAUGAUCAAAUGCAACUUUACUUCAUUUCAGACCAAUGUGACGGUGGCAAUAUGUGCUGGUUAGGAAUAUAAGGAGUGUUUAUAGUGUUGUAUAAGUCAACACACGCUGAGAUAUACAACAUAAGUGGAUACUCAACCGAAAGGCGUAACGCAAAUUGUACUAAGGCAAAGCCAAUACUUUCUUAUAAUAACUUCGUCAUUGAAGUUGACGAAACCGUUGGAAAACUACCGACCUCAGACGUUGCACGGUUGUUCAGAUUCAGAAGGAGCAAAGAUACAGCGUAAAAAGUAUCGAUUAUUGUCAAAGUCUUUGUCAGACAAGACUAUUCGGAAUAAAGGCGAACAUCAAGCAAGAUAUAUUAAAUCCGUCAAUAAGUUAAAUCAAAAUAAUUGGGAACACACAGGUUACUGUCUUACAUACUACAACUAUGGAUUCCAGUGGCAAGCCUGUCACAGAUCAAACCCUAUCAAAACAAUGUGUAGAACAAGUUCAGAUCCAUCUGAAACCACUAUAUUCAUAGACGAUACGACAUACACAUGGAUACAGGGCAAUAUGGUAUGCUUUGACAUGAAAAGGAAUCCAGCGACCGUUGAAAGUAUAACAAAUACUACAUUUGUGACCUGCCACAAGAGUUCUACUGGACGCGAAUAGUCAGAGCAAGUACAAUACUCAGAGCGGACUGGAUUGAUCGAAAAAGCAACAACAACAAUAUGCUUACAUGUGCACAUUUAAAUCAAAGCACCUACAUUAGUGAUGUAACAUACGGAUAUUUAGUUAAAAAUACAGGAAAGUUGGAAUUCACAAUCAGUGGAACAAAAGUAGCUUUAUGCGCAUCAGGCCCAAGAGAUGAUAAAACAUCAGGUAAAGGCCAUACGACUAUUGUUUGUGCCACACAUUUUACUGAAGGUCCAACGACCAUGAGAGACGUCACCCAAUCAACAGAAAGUCAAGUUAUCAUAAAAGAUGCCAAAGAGACAACAGUCCGAUUUAUAGAGUUGUUGGCCAUAGUAAUAGGUAUUGGAACUGUGACAGUCCUGGGCGUCGUUGUUGUUGUCGUCAUUGUUGUCAGACAAAGAAAACGACAUCUUCAAUUAACGAACAACAAAAGCCCUGUGACGAUGAGUGCUUACAGUGAUUACAAAGCAAACUGUCAAGUAACUGUCGAAAAAGCUGUGCUCGACAAUAACUUUCACGUAAAUAGAAACUAAGCCUCUUAGAGAACGAACAUCUCGACCAUAAAAGUACAGCAAAUGAUCCAAAUGUAGACACUGUAGAUGCAGUCAUUUACCAUACUAUACAUGAUGUAUUAGAACCGCGUGGAAACGUCAGGGGCGACACCAAUGAUUACGAUUACACAACGACUAAUGUAGUACAAACUGAGAGGGAUCCGGACAAGGUAUAUGACAAGCUGCAUUUCGAACGCCAUGGUGAUUAUAACCAUGUAACGGGUCAUUGUCAGGUGCAUGACCCACCAACAAGCAAUCACUAUGACACGGCUUCAAUAAGCGUCAAACAAAAUGCAACACAAGCAAGCGUAAAUGACGAUUACGACCAUGUUGAAGGUAAGGGGCGUAUUCAUAUCGCAGCAACAAGCUACGUCUACGACAUGACUGACUCUGCAAUGACUGUCAGAGCUGGAUCUGCAUCAGCAAACGAUGACGAAGGUAAAUACAAUUACAUGUCCAAUCUACCUGGUCCUACCAAUGAAGAAAGUAAAGAUGCCACCGCUUGAAUACAUUACAGGGGGUUCAACGAUGUACGGGCAGUAUAGGUUAUUAGUCCUUAAUUCGCCCAUUUUUAAUAUCAGUGUGUAAUCCUCGUACUGUGAAAUUGUGCAUUUCAUGUUAUUGUAUUUUACAUUAAUAUGCUAUGAAUGAAUUAAAAAACAGGUAACACAAAACAUGCGUGUUCUUAAAACAAAAACGCAAUUAACCUCGGCGGCAUCAUGGAACAUGGAAUAUUAAACUUUAUAUUCGGUUGAUGUCUGAAGCUUUUAAAUCGAUGAUGAGAUGUGUUCGAUCUGUGUUUAAAUUAAUUUCAGUUAAUAAGUUAUAAUUAAACUUUUACAAUAUUAUAGUUCUAGUUUGCAAACAACCUUCGAGUAGUUCAACUUCACUAACAUUGAAACGCAUUUUAUUUAUUGGUAUUAAAACAUGAUAUACUUAAAAUAUAAUUUAUUUUCAUUGACAUUUUAAUCAGUAAAGUAAUGCAAAGUGUAAGGUUAAACGCUUGUUAAAAAUAGGUUUAAAACGCAUUGAUUUGCAUGUUUCAUUACCGAGCAUUUUUGAUAGUUGUUUUGUUUUGUAUAUGUGUAUGUGCCAUGUCUGGUACGUUUGUAUUGUCAAACUGUUUAACAAUUGGCCCUUUGCUAUAAUUAAGGGAUCAACUGCUAUGAUUAGGGCUCCUGAUGGAGCAGUUUACUAUGUUUAUAUAAGAUGGAUUUAAAUUUAUGGACGAAAUUUUUGGUUGGUAGGAAUUGUUUUUCAUGCGUGUGAUGCAUAUUAUAUGCAAAAGUAAAAACAGCUGUAAUUUCAUUUAUAUCAGUUGAUCUUCAUUGAUUUAAAAGUCGUUAGAUUGUCAAUGCUUGUAAAUAUGUUUGAAUGUAAAUAAACAAUA
Dreissena polymorpha is the source of this 2621-nucleotide long non-coding RNA. RefSeq lists it as uncharacterized. The record is from RefSeq and is a predicted model, not a curated record. NCBI's taxonomy places the organism in Eukaryota, Metazoa, Mollusca, Bivalvia, Myida, Dreissenidae. The transcript is spliced from 10 exons.